AAGACACUAGUAAAACCAUUACGCUGCCUUGUCAAGGCAAAAUUGCAGGUUAGAUUCCUGCGUGUCUUA
Molecule: transfer RNA, 69 nt
Filed under: Lates calcarifer (barramundi perch)
Lineage: Eukaryota; Metazoa; Chordata; Actinopteri; Centropomidae
Rfam family: tRNA
About the family: Transfer RNA (tRNA) molecules are approximately 80 nucleotides in length.
Source: Rfam by way of RNAcentral